UGGACAUGUGGGGAGAUCUUUACUAA
Molecule: non-coding RNA, 26 nt
Filed under: Cricetulus griseus (Chinese hamster)
Lineage: Eukaryota; Metazoa; Chordata; Mammalia; Rodentia; Cricetidae
Source: RNAcentral